This 1437-nucleotide ribosomal RNA is filed under the name uncultured bacterium. Its description in RNAcentral is "bacterial SSU rRNA". It matches the Rfam family "Bacterial small subunit ribosomal RNA". The record is from RNAcentral.
AGAGUUUGAUCCUGGCUCAGGAUGAAUGCUAGCGGUGCGCCUAACACAUGCAAGUCGAGCGGGAUUCUAAAAUAGCUUGCUAUUUUAGAUGAGAGCGGCGAACGGGUGAGUAAUAAGUUGCUACCUACCUCUAAGUCAGGGAUAGUCCACCGAAAGGUGGUUUAAUACCGGAUGUGCUGGAAACAGUAAAGAUUUAUCGCUUAGAGAGGGGGCUUCUUCCUAUCAGCUAGUUGGUGAGGUAAUAGCUCACCAAGGCUAUGACGGGUAAUUGGUCUGAGAGGAUGACCAGUCACAAUGGAACUGAGACACGGUCCAUACUCCUACGGGAGGCAGCAGUGAGGAAUCUUCCACAAUGGGCGAAAGCCUGAUGGAGCGACACCGCGUGAAGGAUGAAGGUUUAACGAUUGUAAACUUCUUUUCUGGGGGAGCAUAAUGAGAGUACCCCAGGAAUAAGGGGCGGCAAAUCACGUGCCAGCAGCCGCGGUAAUACGUGAGCCCCAAGCAUUAUCCGGAAUUACUGGGUGUAAAGGGUUUGUAGGUGGAUUUUUAAGUUGAAUAUUAAAGACCGAAGCUCAACUUCGUGUAUGUAUUCAAAACUGGAAAUCUAGAAUCAGGGAGAGGUAAGCGGAAUUCUAAGUGUAGGGGUGCAAUCCGUAGAUACUUAGAAGAACACCAAAAGCGAAGGCAGCUUACUGGAACUGUAUUGACACUGAGGAACGAAAGCAUGGGGAGCGAAAAGGAUUAAAUACCCUUGUAGUCCAUGCCCUAAACGAUGAUAACUAAGUGUUCCUGUAAAAGGGAGUGCUGAAGCAAACGCAUUAAGUUAUCCUCCUGAGGAGUACGGUCACAAGAUUAAAACUCAAAGGAAUGGACGGGGACCCACACCAGCACUGGAUCACGUGGUUUAAUUCGACAAUAAACGGGGAAUCUUACCCAGACUUGACAUCCUAAGAACCUUUCAGAAAUGAAAGAGUGCCCGUAACGGAACUUACAGACAGGUGCUGCAUGGUUGUCGUCAGCUCGCGCCUUGAGGUGUUCGGUUAAGUCCGUUAACGAACGCAACCCAUGCCCUUAAUUACAAUGUUUAAGGGGACUGCCUUGGCUAACAAGGAGGAAGGUGUGGAUGACGUCAAAUCAGCAUGGCUUUUACCUCUGGGGCCACACACAUGAUACAAUGGUAAGUACAAAGAGUAGCGAGAGGGUGACCUGGAGCCAAUCUAUAAAACUUAUCUAAAUCCGGAUUGAAGUCUGAAACUCGACUUCAUGAAGUUGGAAUUGCUAGUAAUCGUGAAUCAGACAUGUCACGGUGAAUAUGUUCCUGGGUCUUGUACUCACCGCCCGUCACGGCAUGGGAGGUAAUAAUAUCGGAAGCUCCUUUGAUAAUAGAGGGAUCCAUGGUAGGAUUACUGACUGGGCUGAAGUCGUAACAAGGUAACC